GCGCGGAGCAGCGCGGGGGCAACGGGCCCCGGGGCUAGGGACCUGGCGCGCGGGGGCCGGGGCGCCUCGGGCUGGAGCGGCUGGGCGGGUGAGAGGCGAGCGCGGCGGCGGCGGCCGGAGGAGAUUCGCGGAGCCGAGACUGAGCCAGGGAGUGCGCGCCCAGAAGUUUUUAUAAGUGGCAGCCGCCGAUGAUGAAACCCGCUCCAAUAAGAAAGCUGUCUGAAACCCUCCUCCCUCUUUUACUCGGGUGUCAAAGGCGCUGCGAGCCCCCGCCCCUCCGCCGCCACCGCCCCCUCAGACAGAUUUUUUACCACCAGGAUUCCAAGCGCGGAGAAGAGACAGUGAGGCUUCUCAAGGGAAGGAUAACAAGGUUCUUCCAAAAGCAGCUGCAGUGAGGAAUCCAGCUCUGGAGGCAUUUUUCCAGCUCCCUCAUUCCUGUAGUCCCGUACAGAGGGAACCUCUCCAACCCCACCCCAAACCCAGGAAAAGAUGCCGUCAAUAUCCAGGAGGCUUUGGCUAAGACAAAGGCCACAGGACAGAUGGACCACAUAGGCUUCUUAUUUCUACCCAAGAUCUGAUACCUUUCUGGGCCUGGUCUGGCCUGGCCUGGGUCUGGGGGCUUCUGUGCACCUGCGACCCAAGGUCCCUGGACAUGGCAGCAUUCCAGAGCUGUUGAACAGUGGGCAGCCCCUGGCCACUUCACUCAGCCAUAGAGCAAGGUACAUCCAGACAGGCUUCCCACAGCUCUGUAGCAGCCCCAGCCUCAGGGCAGGCAUUAAUUCCAGCUCCCAUCUGUCCACUGGGAGAACACGGCACGCAAGGACAGAUACCAGCAUGGAGCACUUGGUGUGUGCUGGGCAUACCAGGCCCUCUGCUGAGCACCCACAUGCAGGAUUUCAUGAAGCCCCAACGUUAGCCCUACAGGCAUAGGUACUAUUAGAGUCUGGACUCCACAGACAAGGAUGCUAGAGCAGUCCAAUAAGAAAGCUGUCUGAAAGCCACAGCUAGCAAGUGGUGGAGCUGGACCCUGAAUUCAGCCUUGUCUGACUCUAAAGCCCAGACUUGAAGCAUUAUGUUUUCUGAUCAGUUGUCUAGUCCAGCAGCCCCAUUUUGCAAGAUGAACUAAACAGGGACCAGAAAACCCCCAGGCCAAGGUCACAGGCACCUUAGGGCUACCAUGGCUGGAGCUUCUUUCUCAAACCCUGAGACCUCACUAUGAUCCUCUGGUAGAACCCCUGGAGGAUCAGCCUCUCCAGCCCUCACCUAGUCCCGUUCUGUUAAUCUGGCCCUCUGCCUCCCGUCAGCGCCAGCAUCAUCUCCAAAGGAAAAGCCUAUUCAGAAAUGCUCACAGAUGCUUAUCUUCCUUCAUUGACCUUUACUGGGUGGAGUUCAGCUAAAUGUAAUGGAGAGCCAACCAAAAUGACUUAAAUGAGAUUUAUUUGUCUCUCAUAAUAAGAAGUCUGCUAGUAGGUAGUCCAGGGGUCAUAACCUAGGCCCUUCAAGAUUCCUUAGCCUGUGGUUCCCAUCCCCAUGGCUGGCUCAUUGUCACAAGAUAGCUGCUCCAUCUCCAGCCUCCUCUCCUAAUUCCAGGAAAGACGUGGAAGACAGGAAACAGGAAGGGGCCAUGCUUACAUCAAGAGAGCAAAUCUCUCCCUUGCAUGCACAGCUGCUUUUCCUUAAGUCUUCUUGGCCAAACCUGGGUCACAUAGCUACCCCCUGCAAAGGAUGCUAAGAAGUAUAGUUAACACUAUUGCUGUCCUGUGAACAAAAUUGGGGUUUUAUUAGGGAAAAAAUAAUAGUGUGUUUUACAUUUUCAACACCUGCACAUGGAGUAACCCAUUUGCUUUCAAGAGCACUCCCGGAGUAUGCCUCCCAGACUUUCUGUCCUUAAAUUUCGGUAAAUAUUUCCUAGCACUGAAAAAAUACAAAAUCAGGCUGGGCACGGUGGCUCAUACCUCUAAUCCCAGCACUUGAGGAGUCCAAGGCGGGCAGAUAACUUGAGGUCAGGAGUUUGAGACCAGCCUGGCCAACAUGGUGAAACCCCGUCUCUACUAAAAAUACAAGAUUAGCCAGGUGAGGUGGCAGGUGUCUGUAGUCCCAGCUGCUUGGGAGGCUGAAGCAGGAGAAUCGCUUGAACCUGGUAGGCAGGGGCUGUAGUGAGC
This is a long non-coding RNA of Macaca mulatta (Rhesus monkey), 2162 nucleotides long. The record is from Ensembl. NCBI's taxonomy places the organism in Eukaryota, Metazoa, Chordata, Mammalia, Primates, Cercopithecidae.